RNAcentral lists this ribosomal RNA (252 nucleotides) under uncultured bacterium. RNAcentral's name for it is "partial 16S ribosomal RNA". It matches the Rfam family "Bacterial small subunit ribosomal RNA", at positions 524 to 776 of the family's 1533-position model. The record is from RNAcentral.
UACGUAGGUGGCAAGCGUUGUCCGGAAUUAUUGGGCGUAAAGCGCGCGCAGGCGGCUUCUUAAGUCUGAUGUGAAAUCUCGGGGCUCAACCCCGAGCGGCCAUUGGAAACUGGGAGCUUGAGUACAGAAGAGGAGAGUCGAGUUCCACGUGUAGCGGUGAAAUGCGUAGAUAUGUGGAGGAACACUAGUGGCGAAGGCGACUCUCUGGUCUGUAACUGACGCUGAGGCGCGAAAUCGUGGGGAGCAAACAGG